This is a long non-coding RNA of Rhipicephalus microplus (southern cattle tick), 1097 nucleotides long. NCBI's taxonomy places the organism in Eukaryota, Metazoa, Arthropoda, Arachnida, Ixodida, Ixodidae. The record is from RefSeq and is a predicted model, not a curated record.
CUCUCGCAGGGACGCCGCCACGACGUGCGCCUAGCAACGGCCUCCGCGCCGUACUCUCGUUUCCAGGUUGCGCCGUCGCCCUGUUGCGCCCGCGAAACACGCCGGCCAAACAUGGAGGAAAAAACAACUCAGUGCGCGCCACGGAGAAACUUCCUCUGUGGUGCGCGCCGACUGCGCAUUUUUACGUGCGGCAUGUUCGGCGCCUGCGCGUUGUCGCCACUUCAAGAAAGCCAAUAUGGGGAAAACACGACGCUCCGUGCACCUUUGUUUCUGGUAGGAGCAGCUCGGAAAGAGUUGCAAGUUUAGUUUGACUGUGAUGCUACUAAGGUACUGUACCACCGAACAUUAGGGCUUAUGAUCUGCCCUGCCCGUCCGUCGAGAUGUCUAAGCGCGUUUGGACGCCAUCGAGGAACGACGAGGUACCACACAUCACGAAGUGGAAGUAUUGUAAGAAAAAGGAAAAUGAAAAAGAAAUACUGUGUUCUGGGCGCCUUCUGCACGCAAACUUCUGCUUUGUCGUAAGCACUUGGGUUUCGCGUACGUGUUCGUCAACUACAAGCAACCGCAUGCGAGUGCCCGCGCGAUCUGCAGAAACUCGCAUUUAUCUGGAAUGAACUUUUCUUAUGUAUGCGCUGGUGUGAAGCCAAUAAAACAAGUGCGAGAGAGGCGGCAAGCCGCUUGAAGAGCUCUGUUCAAAGGAUCCUUCACAGGAUGGUCGACAUUCUCCUCGCCAUGAGUCUAUCUGACAGAACGACUGUCCAGUGAAUUAAGGAUGCGCCAUACUUUGUGGAACACCAUCCUGCAAAGCAGUACGAAUUUAGAAUUUCAGUGACAGCAACGAAAGGGGUCUGCUUUGCCUGCAAAUGCCAUUUGAUCAAAAGAAAAAUACACCAGUUACUUGAGCACUUACUAGGUACCUGCACAAAUCUCCUUGCAGUGCGUUUAACCCUUUUAGACGCUUUGUACACAAUUGUGUACAUCACUUAUUUUUGCUAGUUGUGUCAACUAGGGGCUAAAAAAGUGCAAGAUACAAUGAAGUUUAGAUGAAAUAAUCAACCUCCUCCCUAAUAAACAUGUCUUUAACUUCAGUUUUCACA